RNAcentral lists this ribosomal RNA (497 nucleotides) under uncultured bacterium. RNAcentral's name for it is "partial 16S ribosomal RNA". It matches the Rfam family "Bacterial small subunit ribosomal RNA", at positions 28 to 507 of the family's 1533-position model. The record is from RNAcentral.
GAUGAACGCUGGCGGCGUGCCUAAUACAUGCAAGUCGAGCGAACAGACGAGGAGCUUGCUCCUCUGACGUUAGCGGCGGACGGGUGAGUAACACGUGGAUAACCUACCUAUAAGACUGGGAUAACUUCGGGAAACCGGAGCUAAUACCGGAUAAUAUAUUGAACCGCAUGGUUCAAUAGUGAAAGACGGUUUUGCUGUCACUUAUAGAUGGAUCCGCGCCGCAUUAGCUAGUUGGUAAGGUAACGGCUUACCAAGGCAACGAUGCGUAGCCGACCUGAGAGGGUGAUCGGCCACACUGGAACUGAGACACGGUCCAGACUCCUACGGGAGGCAGCAGUAGGGAAUCUUCCGCGAUGGGCGAAAGCCUGACGGAGCAACGCCGCGUGAGUGAUGAAGGUCUUCGGAUCGUAAAACUCUGUUAUUAGGGAAGAACAAAUGUGUAAGUAACUAUGCACGUCUUGACGGUACCGAAUCAGAAAGCCACGGCUAACUACGUG